ACUCCUACGGGAGGCAGCAGUGGGGAAUUUUGGACAAUGGGCGCAAGCCUGAUCCAGCAAUGCCGCGUGAGUGAAGAAGGCCUUCGGGUUGUAAAGCUCUUUUGUCAGGGAAGAAACGGUAGGGGCUAAUAUCCUUUGCUAAUGACGGUACCUGAAGAAUAAGCACCGGCUAACUACGUGCCAGCAGCCGCGGUAAUACGUAGGGUGCAAGCGUUAAUCGGAAUUACUGGGCGUAAAGCGUGCGCAGGCGGUUUUGUAAGUCUGUCGUGAAAGCCCCGGGCUCAACCUGGGAAUUGCGAUGGAGACUGCAAGGCUUGAAUCUGGCAGAGGGGGGUAGAAUUCCACGUGUAGCAGUGAAAUGCGUAGAGAUGUGGAGGAACACCGAUGGCGAAGGCAGCCCCCUGGGUCAAGAUUGACGCUCAUGCACGAAAGCGUGGGGAGCAAACAGGAUUAGAUACCCUGGUAGUCCACGCCCUAAACGAUGUCUACUAGUUGUCGGGUUUUAAUUAACUUGGUAACGCAGCUAACGCGUGAAGUAGACCGCCUGGGGAGUACGGUCGCAAGAUUAAAGCUCAAAGGAAUUGACGGGGACCCCCACAAGCGGUGGAGCAUGUGG
This 616-nucleotide ribosomal RNA is filed under the name uncultured bacterium. RNAcentral describes it as "bacterial SSU rRNA". It matches the Rfam family "Bacterial small subunit ribosomal RNA", at positions 335 to 944 of the family's 1533-position model. The record is from RNAcentral.